This 810-nucleotide ribosomal RNA is filed under the name uncultured bacterium. RNAcentral describes it as "bacterial SSU rRNA". It matches the Rfam family "Bacterial small subunit ribosomal RNA", at positions 8 to 810 of the family's 1533-position model. The record is from RNAcentral.
AGAGUUUGAUUUUGGCUCAGAUUGAACGCUGGCGGCAGGCUUAACACAUGCAAGUCGAGCGGGCGAGGUUGCUUCGGUAACUGAGCUAGCGGCGGACGGGUGAGUAAUGCUUAGGAAUCUGCCUAUUAGUGGGGGACAACAUUCCGAAAGGGAUGCUAAUACCGCAUACGUCCUACGGGAGAAAGCAGGGGAUCACUUGUGACCUUGCGCUAAUAGAUGAGCCUAAGUCGGAUUAGCUAGUUGGUGGGGUAAAGGCCUACCAAGGCGACGAUCUGUAGCGGGUCUGAGAGGAUGAUCCGCCACACUGGGACUGAGACACGGCCCAGACUCCUACGGGAGGCAGCAGUGGGGAAUAUUGGACAAUGGGGGGAACCCUGAUCCAGCCAUGCCGCGUGUGUGAAGAAGGCCUUUUGGUUGUAAAGCACUUUAAGUGGGGAGGAGGCUUACCUGGUUAAUACCUGGGCUAAGUGGACGUUACCCACAGAAUAAGCACCGGCUAACUCUGUGCCAGCAGCCGCGGUAAUACAGAGGGUGCGAGCGUUAAUCGGAUUUACUGGGCGUAAAGCGCGCGUAGGUGGCUAAUUAAGUCAAAUGUGAAAUCCCCGAGCUUAACUUGGGAAUUGCAUUCGAUACUGGUUAGCUAGAGUAUGGGAGAGGAUGGUAGAAUUCCAGGUGUAGCGGUGAAAUGCGUAGAGAUCUGGAGGAAUACCGAUGGCGAAGGCAGCCAUCUGGCCUAAUACUGACACUGAGGUGCGAAAGCAUGGGGAGCAAACAGAAAGAGAUACCCUGGUAGUCCAUGCCGUAAACGAU